This 497-nucleotide ribosomal RNA is filed under the name uncultured bacterium. Its description in RNAcentral is "partial 16S ribosomal RNA". It matches the Rfam family "Bacterial small subunit ribosomal RNA", at positions 28 to 507 of the family's 1533-position model. The record is from RNAcentral.
GAUGAACGCUGGCGGCGUGCCUAAUACAUGCAAGUCGAGCGGAAGGACGCGAAUCUUGCUUCGCUGAUGUUAGCGGAAGGCGGGUGAGUAACACGUGGAUAACCUCCCUGUAUGUCUGGGAUAACCUCGGGAAACCGGCGCUUAUCCCGGAUGAUAUUUUGCAGCGCAUGGGGCAAAAGUGAGAGACGGUCUUUCUGGCACUACUAGAUGCAUCCGGGCUGCAUUAGCUAGUUGGUACGGUCACGGCCUACCAGGGCAAGGAUGCAUAGCCGAACUAAGAGGCUGAUAGGCCGCCUGGGAGCUGGGCCAGCGUCCUGACUCCUGCGGGAGGCAGCAGUAGGCAACCUUCCGCAGCGGGCGGAAGCCUUACGGAGCGACGCCGCGUGAGUUACGACGGUCUUCGGUUCGUGAAGCUCUGUUAUUAGUGGAGAACAUAUUUGUAAGUAACUGUGCCCAUCGUGACGGUACCUGAUCAGGAAGCCCCGGCUAACUACGUG